AACGCACGAGACCUGCGGACCUGCGGAAGGAUCAUUACCGAGUUUACAACUCCCAAACCCAAUGUGAACGUUACCAAACUGUUGCCUCGGCGGGAUCUCUGCCCCGGGUGCGUCGCAGCCCCGGACCAAGGCGCCCGCCGGAGGACCAACCAAAACUCUUUUGUAUACCCCCUCGCGGGUUUUUAUAUCUGAGCCAUCUCGGCGCCUCUCGUAGGCGUCUCGAAAAUGAAUCAAAACUUU
This 240-nucleotide unclassified non-coding RNA is filed under the name soil metagenome. Its description in RNAcentral is "partial contains 5.8S ribosomal RNA, internal transcribed spacer 2, and large subunit ribosomal RNA". The record is from RNAcentral.